UUCAGAGCCUUCGGCACCGGCGGAGGCACGGGAUCGCGGCAAGGGGAUCGCUUAGCUAGCUAGCGAGGAGCGGUACUUUGCCUAGGUGGUUUACUCUUUUUUUUUGUAGUUGAGAGAGUGAGAGGUUUUUGUAUCCAUAUAUAGAGACCACCUAUGUAUCUACCUAUAGCACUUGUAUCUGGGAUUUGCUUGUAUUACUUUAUGCUUUUAUUAGUGGAUUUACAGUCUAUCCUUAUCCUUUGUUGUAGCAUUUAGACAUUUAUUAUGCUCUGAUACUCCUAGUUGCCUUUUAUUAUUGCUUUUAUUAUUGUUGUUUUUAGACGCCUUAUACGUUUUAGACGUAUGGCGGGUCUGGGCACGUGCCGGGCGGGCUUCCGCUGGGUCCCGGGGCGUGACAAUAGGAUGGACCUAGAGACCCUUAGGAAUGGAAGACCUUAAGGAUCUAGGAAACGUGAGUGACGUUGAACAAGAUAUAGUGAAGGCAUAGAUUGGGUUGAUGUAAUUAUAUCUCUA
RNAcentral lists this long non-coding RNA (513 nucleotides) under Ananas comosus (pineapple). RNAcentral's name for it is "long non-coding RNA (ACOM_LNC041971)". The record is from RNAcentral. Lineage: Eukaryota; Viridiplantae; Streptophyta; Magnoliopsida; Poales; Bromeliaceae.